GGGAAAUUCUGGCCUGGGGUUCAGUAUUGCUGGAGGAACAGAUAACCCACACAUUGGGGAUGAUCCUGGGAUAUUCAUUACUAAGAUUAUACCAGGAGGAGCCGCAGCAGAGGAUGGAAGACUCAGGGUCAACGACUGCAUCUUGCGAGUGAAUGAGGUGGACGUGUCAGAAGUCUCACACAGCAAAGCCGUGGAGGCCCUAAAAGAGGCUGGCUCCAUAGUUCGAUUGUAUGUUCGUCGAAGGAGACCUAUUCUGGAGACCGUGGUAGAGAUCAAGUUGUUCAAAGGCCCUAAAGGUAAAUAUGAAAAUGAAUACACGUCCAUUUUAAGCUUGAUGUUUAACCUCUCUCAUAGAUGAAACAGGACCUGUCUUUGUUGACUGGUUAACUGCUUAACCUGUCAAUUACAGAAAUACAGUGAAUUUAGGCUGGCAGAACCUGGAUUCAUGAUUCCGUGUGUUUUCAUUACAUAUAAAGAAAUGCAAGACAUUGUGAUUUGUGUGAUGUAAUGUUUCUUGUAGAGAUGGCUUCUUACCUCCAGAAUAAAUGCAAGAUACAGAAAUUGUAUGCUUUUCAAUGACGGAAGAUACAUUUCUUCUAAACUUACUCUACUGAGAUCCUUGGAGUUCAUUGAAGAUGCUAUAACAUAAUGAGAUUCUGAAUUCUUCCUUUUUUAAAGAUUGUUUCAUGUAUGUCCAACUUUUCCUUUCUACUUUCAUGUUGAUGCUUUUUCCUACAAUUCUCU
This is a non-coding RNA of Meleagris gallopavo (turkey), 744 nucleotides long. The record is from RefSeq and is a predicted model, not a curated record. Lineage: Eukaryota; Metazoa; Chordata; Aves; Galliformes; Phasianidae.